This is a microRNA precursor of Cercocebus atys (sooty mangabey), 77 nucleotides long. The record is from Ensembl. Lineage: Eukaryota; Metazoa; Chordata; Mammalia; Primates; Cercopithecidae.
UGCAAUGCCCUACUCAGAAAGGUGCCAUUUAUGUAGAUUUUAUGUCACUGGCUCCUUUCUGGGUAGAGUAAGGCUCA